CCGUGAGGCCGUGACCCAUCCGCCCAACCUUAGGCGUGUCCCACACCCGUGAGGCCGUGACCCAUCCGCCCAACCUUGACACAAUUCAAAAUUUUAAUCCAAUCGGGCAGGCGCAGCCACAUCGCCGAGAACCACCAUGCUCCCCGUCCCCGUCCCCGCACGACCGCGCCGGAUCUGCCGAUUUCUUCACGCUUGACCAAUGAAUCUUGGUGCGGAGUCAUUCAUGGAUCCCUUGUUCAGCUUUUGUUCCUAGCCAACUUUUCCCGAGAGCGUCCCAGAUCUGGGAUAGCUAGAGGAGGAUUCUCCUACCUCAAGCCAAGAUGGGGAGGAAUUUGGUGCUACAGAUUCAAGAUCUCAAGUUCCUGACGCCACGCCAGAUUUUCCAAUGUCCCAUUGACAACACCCACAAAGAGAGCCCUCAUCUGAAUCGCAGCGCACUCCAUCUCCGUGGCCUAAAAGAGCAAGUACUUCUGAACCUUUACUUGACCUGACCGCAGUACCACAUUACCAGAAAGGCGAAGUGCUUUGGAGAAGGCCAUGAUAAAUUACGAUAGGAAGUCUGAGUUCAUCGUUAAGCCGAAGUGUAUCAAGUGCAGCAUUCCAGGCCACAAAAACUUAGUGCCUUUCUAUUGUGAAGUUCUCUCCGUGUUGGAGUUCACUCGCUUUGAAUUGCUCGAUGGUCUGCUUAUACAUUUUUUUUGGAUGUCACUAAUUGGAUUUCCUUAUUAGAAUAUUAACAUUUA
This is a long non-coding RNA of Triticum dicoccoides, 743 nucleotides long. RefSeq lists it as uncharacterized. Lineage: Eukaryota; Viridiplantae; Streptophyta; Magnoliopsida; Poales; Poaceae. The record is from RefSeq and is a predicted model, not a curated record. The transcript has 3 exons.